Molecule: small RNA, 799 nt
Filed under: Pan troglodytes (chimpanzee)
Lineage: Eukaryota; Metazoa; Chordata; Mammalia; Primates; Hominidae
Description: retained intron
Source: RNAcentral
UCUGCAACUUGUAGGGGUAGUGCCAGUUUUACAGGCUUUGGGGCUCUGAGAAAGUACCUGUCAGUCAUGAAGACGAUGUCGGUUGAUUUUCAUAGCCAUCCUGAGAGGCCUGAAGAAGAAAGGCAUUCACCACCCAACACCCAUCCAGAUCCAGGGCAUCCCCACCAUGCAAGACACUGGUGUUCACGUUGCCCGUCAUCAUGUUCUGCCUGGAACAAGAGAAGAGGUUACCCUUCUCAAAGCGCGAGGGGCCCUAUGGACUCAUCAUCUGCCCCUCGGUAAGAUAGGCUGGCCUGGAGGGCAGGCCAGAGAUUGGGGCUGCCAUCUGGUGCCAGCCUUUGUCCCUCUGCCUGCAGCGGGAGCUGGCCCGGCAGACCCAUGGCAUCCUGGAGUACUACUGCCGCCUGCUGCAGGAGGACAGCUCACCACUCCUGCGCUGCGCCCUCUGCAUUGGGGGCAUGUCCGUGAAAGAGCAGAUGGAGACCAUCCGACACGGUGUACACAUGAUGGUGGCCACCCCGGGGCGCCUCAUGGAUUUGCUGCAGAAGAAGAUGGUCAGCCUAGAUAUCUGUCGCUACCUGGCCCUGGACGAGGCUGACCGCAUGAUCGACAUGGGCUUCGAGGGUGACAUCCGUACCAUCUUCUCCUACUUCAAGGGCCAGCGACAGACCCUGCUCUUCAGUGCCACCAUGCCGAAGAAGAUUCAGAACUUUGCUAAGAGUGCCCUUGUAAAGCCUGUCACCAUCAAUGUGGGGCGCGCUGGGGCUGCCAGCCUGGAUGUCAUCCAGGAAGUAGAAUA